RNAcentral lists this transfer RNA (86 nucleotides) under Methanobacteriota archaeon. Its description in RNAcentral is "Euryarchaeota archaeon tRNA-Ser". It matches the Rfam family "tRNA". From Rfam's summary of the family: Transfer RNA (tRNA) molecules are approximately 80 nucleotides in length. Their secondary structure includes four short double-helical elements and three loops (D, anti-codon, and T loops). Further hydrogen bonds mediate the characteristic L-shaped molecular structure. tRNAs have two regions of fundamental functional importance: the anti-codon, which is responsible for specific mRNA codon recognition, and the 3' end, to which the tRNAs corresponding amino acid is attached (by aminoacyl-tRNA synthetases). tRNAs cope with the degeneracy of the genetic code in two manners: having more than one tRNA (with a specific anti-codon) for a particular amino acid; and 'wobble' base-pairing, i.e. permitting non-standard base-pairing at the 3rd anti-codon position. Lineage: Archaea; Methanobacteriati; Methanobacteriota. The record is from RNAcentral.
GGCGAGGUACCCAAGCCUGGUCCAAGGGGCUGGUCUUGAAAACCAGUGUGCUUCCGCACUCGCGGGUUCAAAUCCCGUCCUCGCCA